Molecule: transfer RNA, 76 nt
Filed under: Actinocatenispora rupis
Lineage: Bacteria; Bacillati; Actinomycetota; Actinomycetes; Micromonosporales; Micromonosporaceae
Description: tRNA-Pro
Rfam family: tRNA
About the family: Transfer RNA (tRNA) molecules are approximately 80 nucleotides in length. Their secondary structure includes four short double-helical elements and three loops (D, anti-codon, and T loops).
Source: RNAcentral
CGGGUUGUGGCGCAGCCAGGCCAGCGCGCCGCGUUCGGGACGCGGAGAUCGCGGGUUCGAAUCCCGCUAACCCGAC